UGGGACCCGAGGCCCCACCUGACAUCCCCUUCCUCCGGCUCCAACCGCCCCCAUGGCCGCCCGAGCCACCCCAUGACGCCGCCAUUUCCGCCCUCCUCCUCCACCCCGCGCGCGAGCCCGCCGGCCGUGGGACCCCGUGGCCCCACGUCCUUCUCAUCCCCACCUCUCCCCUCCAAAACCGCCGCCCACACCCCACGAUGCCGCCCACGCCACCGGCGGUUGCCGCCCUGUCUCCGCCUCUCCUUGGCUCGGUCCGACCUCCCCUCCCCUAUAAAAACACUCCCCAGCCUCCCCUCUCUCGUUUCCCCCAACUCCCGAGCUUCCCCGUGCCCUAAAUCGCGCUCGCGACGCGAGUCCGAGCUCCGCCGCUCGUCGCCGUGCUCCGGCCGCCCCAUGUGGCCGCUCCUGGCCACCUCACGCCGCGCCUCCGCCUCCACCGCGUUCGCCGCACCGCGUGGAACCCCCGGCCGCCACUCCUUUUUCCCCCUUCCACCCCGAAACACCGUUCCCACCGUGCACCCAAAGCCGCCACCUCUUUCACCGCCUCCAGCCGCUCGCCACCACCGCCCUAGUCGUCGCCGCGCUGCGCCACUGCCACCGACGGCUUCGCCGCGAGGUGCUGCACACCGGCCUCAGCUUCGUUUCCCCAAAUCACCACCGCAACCGCCCCUCCACCGUCGACCCGAGCCACCGCCACCAUUGGCCGACUCCAGCCGUGUUGUCCCUCUGCUCCGGUCGUCGCCGACCCACGCCGUCGCCUCCCUCGGCUCCGCAAGGACGAGGAGAACCUCGGCCACCUCUUCCCAUCGCUGAAAACUCACAGGACGUCCGCUAUCCCGUGCGUUGCUGCCGCUCGUCCGCCUCUUCCCGAGCUCCGCUCGUCGCCGGAGCAUCGUCGUCUCCCUCUACCCCGAGCUCCACCGUCGCUACCUCCCGUUGCCAUCCCGCCGCCGGCCGCCUCCUUCCGCCGUGUGGCGCUCGCGUGUAUAAUCCGUCGUUUCGAAAAUCCGCGGUCGCGAGGAAAAGAGUUCAGAAGAUAAAAGUGAAGAAGCAAG
Oryza sativa Japonica Group (Japanese rice) is the source of this 1055-nucleotide long non-coding RNA. RefSeq lists it as uncharacterized. Lineage: Eukaryota; Viridiplantae; Streptophyta; Magnoliopsida; Poales; Poaceae. The record is from RefSeq and is a predicted model, not a curated record.